Carassius auratus (goldfish) is the source of this 2267-nucleotide long non-coding RNA. Lineage: Eukaryota; Metazoa; Chordata; Actinopteri; Cypriniformes; Cyprinidae. The record is from Ensembl.
AUUUCACAACAUUGCAUUUUGAAGUUCCUUUUUUUUUCUACAUUUGAAAACAUGAUCUUGCCUUUACGUUUAUAUGCACUAAUUUUAAUUUAUUUUAUAAUAAUUGUUUAAUUCUACUCUGUCUGUAGUAAAGCUCCAAGAUGAAUGCAAGAGGAAGAAAUGGGCCGUUGUUUAUCAAGACGUACAGUAAAAGAAUGCGAAAGGUGGAGCCGUGGUUCUCUCCUGACCUGAAGAAAGCAGCUUUCUCGUUUUCAAGCACUCUUUCAUCAGAUCAGUCCAUAACAGAGACCACACAACCCAAGAAACGGUAAAACACACAUGCAUGCAUUUAAUCCUUAACUGUGGUUUAAAAUUUCUAUAGGGAAGCUGAUAUUAUCAAUGACAGUUCCUUUGUCUGUGAAUAGGAGAAUAAGAGAAAGAGCUUCCCGUCCUGCCAAGAGCAAAGGCAUGACUGCUAUAAAGGAGAACGAGGAAAACUACUCACCGUCCUCAUUGUUCAGAAAGAAGACAAAUGCAAAACCAUCAGUGAGGACGACAGCUGUGAGGAAGACUCGAACGGCAAAAACAAAUAAACCGAUCAUUCUCAGCAGCAGUGAAAAUGAGGAUGACUCCUGUAUGAUAAAGAAAAGAAUUCGUCCGAAAACGUCUGCUGGUGAAUGUGCUGGGUGAGGCUUGUUAUACAUUUAGUAAAAAAAAAAAAAUCACUGCUGCUUGACUUUGUUUGAGUGAAAUAUUGUUUUGUAUCUGUGUAGUGCUGAGAAAGUGUUCGGCGCUCAAUGUUUGCCUAAGUUCGUCACACAUCGCAGAAGACCACCAGCACCCAUCCAAACCAAUCCGAUCGUAAGUAACAGUCUGCAAGGGGGGUUCUUGGUUUCUAUUGGAUUGGCAUUAAAACAGUUUUUUUCUUUCCCUCUAGUCUGUUGAUGAUUCCUUAGAUGACUUUCUUCCUCCAUUCUCCCAAAACAAGCGGAAGCCGCUUCACAUGGGCUCCAAUAAUCAUGCUGCUCUCAAGAACCGCGUGGCUCUGGCUGAAGUCUCGUUCAAUGACAGCGAUGACCAGCAGCUCCCAAGUAAACGUCCUCUGCUGUCGAGUACACCUUCUCUGGUCUGCAGACGGCUCCAAACCUUACCAGAGCGCUCCAUCAGUGAGAUCUCCUCCCUCAGCUUUGAUGAACUUCACCAGCCUGCAGAAAACAACUACAGCCUUCAUAAUCUGAAGAAUAUGAAAGCGUGUGACCACACAAGUCACCAACUCACAAACCCAGGGAUCUCCUCGGGAGAGAGAGUGAUGGAGCAGAAGGAAGGAGAACGGGAUGCAGUUGUGGAAGAGAGAGCUGGGGAUGGAGAGAGGGAUAAAAAAGGAAAUCCUGGAUGCGUUUCACGACAGUCACGUCUAGAAUCUUUAGCAGACGAGUUAAAGGAGAGGUGUCGCAAAGUGGAUGUAGCCGUAAUGCUAAAAAAAAUAGACGUCUCGGAUCAUCUGUUGGUGCAAAGCUGCGUCAGGGAACGAGAAGAGAAAAUCUCCUCUGAUUGCUUGGAGUCGUCUGUGGCAGCAAACAGCCAAACCUAUAUAACUGUAUCAUCCAGCUGCUCCUCUCUAUCCAAACCAUCACUCUAUCUCUCCUCAAAGUCUCCGUCCACUUCCCCUUUUGCUGGAGCUGUUUGUUCAAAGCAGUCUCUUAUUGGGCGUCUUAAGGCUGAAUGUCUGUUAUCUUCCCUCGCUGUCAGCGUUCCACGUCUGGACUUGGAUGCGUAUCCUUCUGUCCACCAGAGGGCAGCAGAAGCGCCCUGCCCCGCCUCCCCACACACCUGCCACAGAGACAGUGCAUCCUCUCCACCUCUCAAAGAGACGGGGAACGUCAUCCCAACCAGCUCCCAGACUCCCAGAAACCCUGAAGGAGAUGUUCAACACUCGUCUGCAUCAUCCCGACCACCUCCGGUCUCUCCGUCUGCCUCUGCAGCUUAUAGCAAAACACGUCCUCCUGCUGUGCCUAAAGAACGCACUGGGUCAGGUACUGGCACCGGCCGCAAAGUUUGUGUGAGUGGACUUAAUGUCAGCCGCUGGUCAAAGAGGGGUGCUGGAGAAUUCAAUGAAAAGCGGAGGAAAAAGGACGGACGGAUAAAGACGGUGUCAGGAGACUGGGGCAGCAUGUCUUCUGCAGGGGUCAGUUGUCACUGUCAUACACUCCUGUGCUCAUUUUACUGUAGCUAAUAGUCAUUUACACUCUUUGACAAGUAGAUUAAGUUUUUUUUUUUUGACAUUUUAU